AGGACGCUUCCUCGGGAAGCGAGCGUACACAGGUGCUGCAUGGCUGUCGUCAGCUCGUGUCGUGAGAUGUUGGGUUAAGUCCCCGCAACGAGCGCAACCCUUGUGUUUAGUUGCAAACAGGUCCAAGCUGUGCACUCUAGACAGACUGGCCGUGGACAACACGGAGGAAGGUGGGGAUGGACGUCAGGUCAUCAUGGCCCUUAUGUCCAGGGCGACACACGUGCUACAAUGGCCGGCACAACGGGAAGCGAGUUCGCGAGGACGAGCGGAUCCCUCAAACGCCGGUACGCAGUUCGGAUUGAAGUCUGCAACUCGACUUCAUGAAGCUGGAAUCGCUAGUAAUCGUGGAUCAGCCAAGCCGCGGUGAAUACGUUCCCGGGCCUU
Molecule: ribosomal RNA, 384 nt
Filed under: uncultured Synergistaceae bacterium
Lineage: Bacteria; Thermotogati; Synergistota; Synergistia; Synergistales; Synergistaceae
Description: bacterial SSU rRNA
Rfam family: Bacterial small subunit ribosomal RNA
Source: RNAcentral